Molecule: ribosomal RNA, 260 nt
Filed under: uncultured bacterium
Lineage: Bacteria
Description: partial 16S ribosomal RNA
Rfam family: Bacterial small subunit ribosomal RNA
Source: RNAcentral
AGUGGCGGACGGGUGAGUAACGCGUGGGCAACCUGCCCCAUACAGGGGGAUAACAGUUAGAAAUGACUGCUAACACCGCAUAAGCGCACAGGGCCGCAUGGCCCGGUGUGAAAAACUCCGGUGGUAUGGGAUGGGCCCGCGUCUGAUUAGCCAGUUGGCGGGGUAACGGCCCACCAAAGCGACGAUCAGUAGCCGACCUGAGAGGGUGACCGGCCACAUUGGGACUGAGACACGGCCCAAACUCCUACGGAAGGCAGCAG